Molecule: ribosomal RNA, 497 nt
Filed under: uncultured bacterium
Lineage: Bacteria
Description: partial 16S ribosomal RNA
Rfam family: Bacterial small subunit ribosomal RNA
Source: RNAcentral
GAUGAACGCUGGCGGCGUGCCUAAUACAUGCAAGUCGAGCGAACGGACGAGAAGCUUGCUUCUCUGAUGUUAGCGGCGGACGGGUGAGUAACACGUGGAUAACCUACCUAUAAGACUGGGAUAACUUCGGGAAACCGUAGCUAAUACCGGAUAAUAUUUUGAACCGCAUGGUUCAAAAGUGAAAGACGGUCUUGCUGUCACUUAUAGAUGGAUCCGCGCUGCAUUAGCUAGUUGGUAAGGUAACGGCUUACCAAGGCAACGAUGCAUAGCCGACCUGAGAGGGUGAUCGGGCAAACUGGAACUGAGACACGGUCCAGAAUCCUACGGGAGGCAGCAGUAGGGAAUCUUCCGCAAUGGGCGGAAGCCUGACGGAGGAACGGCGCGGGAGUGAUGAAGGUCUUCGGAUCGUAAAACUCUGUUAUUAGGGAAGAACAUAUGUGUAAGUAACUGGGCAUAUCUUGACGGUACCUAAUCAGAAAGCCACGGCUAACUACGUG